AUGGCUUUCCCAGCUCCAGCUGCUGUAUUCCUUGAUGAGAACCUGCCAAUCCAUAGAGGCAAGAGGGCUGAUGGGCUCAAUGCCAGGCCACUGAAACCAUCAGCAAAGCCAUCAGCAAGGAAGGCUCUGCGGGAUGUGUCCAACACCAGCAAGCCCCAAGCGCCUAGCAUUCAAAAAGGCCACCCCUUGAAGGAUAGGUCCGUCCUGAAAGACAAGUCAGCUCUUCGCAGCCAAGAAGCCAUUAAGAAGAACCCACUGAGCAAGACUACAAUCUAUGCUGAUGAAGCCACCAAAAAAUGCCAUGAAUGGGCCAAGGGUGGGGUGGAGGGCACCCACUUCACUGGGAAUGAUGCUCAGAGGUUGGACAGUGACAAGAUAGACAAACGUGUCAAGAAGAAAGUGGAGAAAAUAACGUCAGCAUUGCAUGAUUGGUCAGAUGUGAUAUUUGAUCCUCUGCUGUUUCCAGCUAAGACAGUUGCACCGUUUCAUGAAGAAGUAAAUGUGCUGGAACUGGAGCCUGAGAUUCUUCCAGACAUCAGUGGGCGUCUCUCGAUUUCAGGCGACAAGGCAAAGCUGACUGAAGAUUCUUUUGAUGAAGUUGAGCUUGAUAGCUACUCAUUCCUGGAGGACAAGCCUGUUGAGUUUCAGCUGAGAGACGAGAUAAGUCUUUAUCCGUGGAGCCUGGAGUCAGUGAACUGA
RNAcentral lists this ribosomal RNA (699 nucleotides) under Triticum aestivum (bread wheat). RNAcentral describes it as "partial small subunit ribosomal RNA". Lineage: Eukaryota; Viridiplantae; Streptophyta; Magnoliopsida; Poales; Poaceae. The record is from RNAcentral.